This 301-nucleotide ribosomal RNA is filed under the name uncultured bacterium. Its description in RNAcentral is "partial 16S ribosomal RNA". It matches the Rfam family "Bacterial small subunit ribosomal RNA", at positions 509 to 809 of the family's 1533-position model. The record is from RNAcentral.
CAGCCGCCGCGGUAAUACGUAGGGUGCAAGCGUUAAUCGGAAUUACUGGGCGUAAAGCGUGCGUAGGCGGUGAGUUAAGUCUGCUGUGAAAUCCCCGGGCUCAACCUGGGAAUGGCAGUGGAUACUGGCUCGCUAGAGUGUGUCAGAGGAUGGUGGAAUUCCCGGUGUAGCGGUGAAAUGCGCAGAGAUCGGGAGGAACAUCAGUGGCGAAGGCGGCCAUCUGGAACAACACUGACGCUGAGGCACGAAAGCGUGGGGAGCAAACAGGAUUAGAUACCCCCGUAGUCCCUGUCUCUUAUAA